UACGUAGGGUGCAAGCGUUAUCCGGAAUUAUUGGGCGUAAAGAGCUCGUAGGCGGUUUGUCGCGUCUGCUGUGAAAACUGGAGGCUCAACCUCCAGCCUGCAGUGGGUACGGGCAGACUAGAGUGCGGUAGGGGAGAUUAGAAUUCCUGGUGUAGCGGUGGAAUGCGCAGAUAUCAGGAGGAACACCGAUGGCGAAGGCAGAUCUCUGGGCCGUAACUGACGCUGAGGAGCGAAAGCGUGGGGAGCGAACAGG
RNAcentral lists this ribosomal RNA (253 nucleotides) under uncultured bacterium. RNAcentral's name for it is "partial 16S ribosomal RNA". It matches the Rfam family "Bacterial small subunit ribosomal RNA", at positions 524 to 776 of the family's 1533-position model. The record is from RNAcentral.